This 468-nucleotide ribosomal RNA is filed under the name uncultured bacterium. RNAcentral's name for it is "partial 16S ribosomal RNA". It matches the Rfam family "Bacterial small subunit ribosomal RNA", at positions 28 to 507 of the family's 1533-position model. The record is from RNAcentral.
GACGAACGCUGGCGGCGUGCUUAACACAUGCAAGUCGAACGGAAAGGCCCUGCUUUUGUGGGGUGCUCGAGUGGCGAACGGGUGAGUAACACGUGAGUAACCUGCCCUUGACUUUGGGAUAACUUCAGGAAACUGGGGCUAAUACCGGAUAGGAGCUCCUGCUGCAUGGUGGGAGUUGGAAAGUUUCGGCGGUUGGGGAUGGACUCGCGGCUUAUCAGCUUGUUGGUGGGGUAGUGGCUUACCAAGGCUUUGACGGGUAGCCGGCCUGAGAGGGUGACCGGCCACAUUGGGACUGAGAUACGGCCCAGACUCCUACGGGAGGCAGCAGUGGGGAAUAUUGCACAAUGGGCGGAAGCCUGAUGCAGCAACGCCGCGUGCGGGAUGACGGCCUUCGGGUUGUAAACCGCUUUCGCCUGUGACGAAGCGUGAGUGACGGUAAUGGGUGAAGAAGCACCGGCUAACUACGUG